Coffea eugenioides is the source of this 666-nucleotide long non-coding RNA. RefSeq lists it as uncharacterized. The record is from RefSeq and is a predicted model, not a curated record. Lineage: Eukaryota; Viridiplantae; Streptophyta; Magnoliopsida; Gentianales; Rubiaceae. The transcript has 2 exons.
CGGUGCACCAGUGAGUCGUGAAUACUCGUGAUUGUGCGCCAGGAUAAGAAAGCAAACGUUCGUCUUUGCAGCAGGAGGUUAUUUGAUUUUGGGUUUUUUAUUUAACCGAUCUGAACCGACCGAAUCUCUUUUUAGGACCGAAUUUUACAAUAGACCAGUGAUAACGGGGUCAAAUGCGAAAUCAAGUAGUAGUAAUUGGGGUUUAGGGUUUUAGGUACGAAUGGAAUCCAAGAAAUUCGAAGCUAAGCUGCUUCUAAAGGAUAAACGGUUCUGGUUCGCCUCUGCCCUUAUUGUUUGGGCCGCUGCUCUCCAGGGACAUAUGAUGUGGUUACGGAGGCAAGAUUCUUUCAAGCAGAAGUUUGGAAAUGUAGAGCAGGACAAAGAUCAAAGCAGGAAUUAGCUGAAAAUCAUCACUAGUUGAAUCAUUUGCUCAAAUUACUGUCUUUGUUACUUGUGAGUUCAAAUGUGAUGCUUUUUUAUGUCCCUAGAUGCUCAUAUUCAAGUUAAUAAUAGUGAAAAUAUUCUAAGAAUUGUGCAUUGACCGAGCCCUGUUACUUAUUAUGAUUUAUUACGAGUAAAUUUCUGUUUAGUUCUAGCUUAUGCUUUGCCUGGUUGUAAGGUGGAUGUGAUGAUUAUAUUGUUUAUCUUAGGUGUGCUGUUAAUUCA